CACAAUAACAGUUUAGGUAAUUGUUGUAAAUAAAGUUUGAUAAAACAGUAACAUCUAACAAAUAUAAAACAUUUUCCGUGUUGAUAUACAGUUAUAUCAACACGAAUGGAAAUUGUGUGGAAUACCGUUAUCGAUCCGACAUGGCGCAAAUUGAAUGGUGUAAAAAAUUGAAAAUCUUCCUCAAUGUUCUUAAAAUUACUAUGGGAAAUAAGGAUACAGUUGCGCGUUUUUCAUGUGUACGUUCACGCACGGAAAAGUUGAAAUCUCUUUAAAUGUUACUUUUGAAAUAACUGAAUGAUUAGAAAGACAGCGCUUUUAGUUUUGUGUAUGAUUUAAAGUUUGUUGGUUGAGUUAAUCGGUAAUUAUAUAAAAUUGAGGAUGAUUUCAACUUUUCAGUGCGUGUACGUCCGUAUGAAAAACGCGUAACUGGAAUGCAGCCUUUAGGAUCCAGAAUCAUGACAUCCACUUUUUUCCAGAUCUGGUUGGAAACCUUGGUGAAAGGUGAGCCAGUUGGGAUAAAGUCCCGAUGCAAAGUGCUCACAUAGGAAAACGCUGUCCCGUGACAAUUAGCCUUUCUCACGCCGCCAUUUUUGGGUGGCUUUUCAGCCGAAGUCUGCGAUAUAAGUCCACAUAAUAGCGAGCGAAUUUUUUGGACGAAUGAUGGUAAAUUUGCUUUUGUAAAUGGUUAGUUUAUUUUGAAAAAUUGCUUUUUACAUUGUUUUAAUUGUCUGCAUUGGUUAACGAGAAUUAGAUGCCACCCAAAAAUGGCGGGAUUCUAGUGACUAUAUAGGGCUGUUCGGUAUACCGAUAUACCGAAUAUAUCGGUAAUCAAUAUCGGUAUAUCGAUACCGGAUAUUCAACCAUACCGAUAUACCGAAAUUUCGGAUAUACCGGAAUUUUUCGGUAUACCGUGUUAAAUUUACCAACUAUAUGACGAAACCAUAACCUUUAUUUUACUACUGAAUGGCAAUUCAAAGAACUUUCUACUGCAAUGAUUUAGAAUUUCCACUUCAGUGAGAUUUUACACUGAGUACGUGCAUGUCGUUCGAAACAUGUUCGAAACAGCUUCGAAAUUAUCGUUUUCCCUUUUAGAAUUACUCAAAAUUUCCUUCAAACUUCCAUUAAAGACUUUUCCUUCAUAAUUAUCAAAAGAAAACCGGCAUACCGAUAAUAUCGGUAUAAUUUUUUCGGUAUACCGAUACCGGAAAUUUCUCAUACCGAAUAUUCUUCUACAUCGUGAGAAAGGCUGAUUGGGCCUAAAAUUAGGUAGGAAUAUAUUUUAGUUUUCCUUACGCGUUAUUGACCCAAUUCAAGAUGAAGACAUAAGGAAACAUGAAUGGUGAAAUAGAAAUGGCAUGUAGUAAAACACUGACUACCGGAACACCACCGGAACACCGCCGGAACACC
Molecule: non-coding RNA, 1407 nt
Organism: Paramuricea clavata
Lineage: Eukaryota; Metazoa; Cnidaria; Anthozoa; Malacalcyonacea; Plexauridae
Source: the annotation of a GenBank genome assembly